This 1398-nucleotide long non-coding RNA is filed under the name Heterocephalus glaber (naked mole-rat). Its description in RNAcentral is "lncRNA (ENSHGLG00100050899.1)". The record is from RNAcentral. Lineage: Eukaryota; Metazoa; Chordata; Mammalia; Rodentia; Bathyergidae.
GUUGGGUUCCUUCUGGCUUUCAUGGCCUCUUGCUUCUGCUUCAGAGUUCAUACAGAUGCUUUCACGUUCAGACUUAUGGUGCCUCUUUCUUAGGAUGAUACUCACAUGCUUCAACCAUUGUCCAGGACUUAGUUCUGCCCCUUCCCAUGUCCUAUUUGUCCAACAACAAGAAUGACCUCUCAGUUCCAGAUCACUAGUCCUAGGUCUCUGGCCAGAAAGGCAUAGGCAUGUCUAAAUCAGGGCCAAACGGUUUCAGUCAACCCAGGUCUAUGCCCAAGUUCAGCAAGAAGUGGCCUGAUUGGUUAUAGUAGGGGGCAUUGGACCUGCAGGAAACCUUAACAAACCUCCAAUCCCAUUUCUGUGGGUUGUUUUUUUUAUUAGGUACCAGGAAUCUAACUCAGGACCUUGUGCUUGCCAGGCAGGCGCGGUGCCACUGAGCUACAUCCCCGGCCCCAACCUCAUUUUUUAGUUGCUUGCUUUUAGUUUGCUUUAAUAAUCGCCACUUUAAUAUAUUUGGCUGGUAUAUUAUCAGUGACCCAUUAGCUUUGCUAACAGUGGCCUGGGUUAUUUUGCAGGAGCUCGAAGGUCACUCUUACUGAAACCUGACUCUACACAUGGGGCCUGUGCAGGUGUUUGAUGGGUGAGCUUUCAACGUCAGAGGACCCAAAUCUCCACCCUGAAGUCACAUCGAUGCUACCACUUCCUGAAUGCUUCCCAAGAAGAAUUAUGAAAAUUGAUUAUUUAUACAAAAACUACCAAGCACUUCACCUCCAAUCACCUCUCCCCAGGCUUCCAUCACCCCACUUCCCACCAGUACCCAUCGAUGUUACCUGCAGUCUCCUGUCACCUCACAUGUGACCAGCUCAUAAGGAAACUGUCACUCUUUGGCAAAAUUAUUGUUUUAGUGACAGGCAGACUGCACAGCAGGCCAAACGGGCCUGGGUCCAUAAUGUUGGCUUCUGUAAAUAUGGGGCAGUCACUGUUUUCAUGACAUAAAAGGGAGGUCAUGGGUGGAGGACACAGGGCUGUGGCUUGGGAGGCUGAGUGUCCAACCUGGCCUCAUGCAAAUCAGUGUCCUGUGGAAGGGCAACUCAGUGAGAAAAUGAGGGCGGUCAGCCGGGUUUCCUCCCUCCCUAAGAGCCUCAAUUUAAAAUGCCCAAACUCUAAAAGUGAAUUCAGUCCCUUUGAAGAGUUACCCUCAAAUAAAAUAUUAACUUGUAAGUAAAAAUGACUCAUUUCUUUGCAGCGUAAUACUCUGAUGAAAUACUCACUUUAAUCUUAAUUUGCCCAAUAAAUUUAAUGGUUCUGAGGGUUAACUUGAUAGAGUAUGAAGGGGAAGAAUGAAUAUAACUCUAGCUGGCAAAAGAAACCUCACCUGUCCAUAUUCAAAAGCAGAAA